UCUGGUGGCGAUGGCGAGAAGGUCACACCCGUUCCCAUGCCGAACACGGAAGUUAAGCUUCUCAGCGCCGAUGGUAGUUGGGGGUUUCCCCCUGUGAGAGUAGGACGCCGCCAGGC
This 116-nucleotide ribosomal RNA is filed under the name Mesobacillus campisalis. Lineage: Bacteria; Bacillati; Bacillota; Bacilli; Caryophanales; Bacillaceae. The record is from RNAcentral.